This 515-nucleotide ribosomal RNA is filed under the name uncultured Glomus. RNAcentral's name for it is "SSU rRNA". It matches the Rfam family "Eukaryotic small subunit ribosomal RNA", at positions 569 to 1082 of the family's 1831-position model. Lineage: Eukaryota; Fungi; Glomeromycota; Glomeromycetes; Glomerales; Glomeraceae. The record is from RNAcentral.
AGCAGCCGCGGUAAUUCCAGCUCCAAUAGCGUAUAUUAAAGUUGUUGCAGUUAAAAAGCUCGUAGUUGAAUUUCGGGGUUAGCAGGUCGGUCGUGCCAUCGGUAUGAACUGGUCUCGCUGAUCCCUCCCUCUUGACGAACUGUGAUGCCAUUAAUUUGGUGUCGCAGGGAAUCAGGACUGUUACUUUGAAAAAUUAGAGUGUUUAAAGCAGGCUCACGCUUGAAUACAUUAGCAUGGAAUAAUGAAAUAGGACGUUUGAUUCCUAUUUUGUUGGCUUCUAGGAUUGACGUAAUGAUUAAUAGGGAUAGUUGGGGGCAUUAGUAUUCAAUUGUCAGAGGUGAAAUUCUUGGAUUUAUUGAAGACUAACUACUGCGAAAGCAUUUGCCAAGGAUGUUUUCAUUAAUCAAGAACGAAAGUUAGGGGAUCGAAGACGAUCAGAUACCGUCGUAGUCUUAAACCAUAAACUAUAGCCGACUAGGGAUCGGAUGAAUUGUUUAAUUUUUAAUGUACUUACG